AUAAAGAAAGUUACCUCCACUUUCUUCUCUUCCACUUUGGGUUUCUCCUCCUCUGCUUUCUUCUCCGCCGGCUGCGACGGUGGAGGAAUUGGAGAAACAAGCACAACUUGACGGUGGGUCUUUCUUUGAACUCUGGCUAAUACUUUCAAUGGAUCAGCUUUCUCUCCCUUCACCACCACUUUCCCCGUUUUACAAUCAGUCAUGACAUCUUCCACUCCUAAAUAAAUUAAGUGCAUUUAACAUUUAGACCAAAAAAAGAAAAAAAAAAAUUAAGUGCAUAGAUUAAACCAAGAACCCAAGAUUCAGUUCAUAUAUUUAUAUUUACCAAAAACAGAGUUUUCUAGUUUGGGUGUUUUAUAUUUGGUUAAAGGAAUAACCUAGACUUUCUGUGGUCCUACACACAAAAUAUAUAACGAAUAUUAACUAUACAAAUACUCAAAAUUAACCAAAAAUGUGUAGUUGAUGAAAUAAACUUUUGGAGUUUAAGAAACUAUUAUAUGAAAAACUAAAAUGUACAUACCAAAAGUAUUUCAGAUGUAGGAAUACUAAGAAUAUGUGUGUGUGUGUGUAGAUUACCUUCGAAGCCUUUGAGGCAACGGCGGACUUUUCUAGCGCAGCCUUCACAGUGCAUGUAGACUUUAAGGAUAAUUUCUUGCGGUGGAGGAGGCGGUGCUGGAGCCUCAGGCUUCGCCGGAGGUGAAUCUUCUUUGGAAUCUUUAGUAGGUUCUCCUUCUUGAGUUUUCUUCUCAGAUUCUUCUCCUUUUUUCUCAUCAGCCUCCACUUUCUUUCCUUCUCCUUCUUUUUUCUCUUCCUCUGGUUUCUUUUCCUCCAUUUUCUUAUCCUCUGCUGCUUCUGGUUUCUUCUCCUCCUGUAACAAAAAGGCAGUUUAUAAAAAUUAGUAUUAUUUUAGAGUUUUGAGAAGAUGAUAUAAAAGCUUGAGAUGUCUUUCAACCUCUCCCAUAUUUGUUUGUUUUGGUUAAGUUUCGUGUGUUUCUAUGUUCACAAAAAAAUUUCACCUAAGUAUUAAUAAUUCAUCGAUAAACUAUGAACAACGUUCUUUUUAUGGUGAGAACUGUAUAAAUGGGUUACUUCUAGGUAGUACUAUUAAAGUUAUUUAUAAAAUCUAUGAAUAAGGUUCUGUUUAUAUGAACUCUACUGUUCUUCCACAAGUUUCCAACUACAGUAUAAACUCUAUAAGUUAAUUUAUAAAUUAAUUAAAAAAUUCCAGUUCCAACUUCAAAAUAUGACAAAAAAUCAUAAAUUAAUAAAAUAACAAGAUGAUAUUUAAAAAAAACUUUAUGUAAAUAUAUGGUUUCAUUAAAAUUAUAAAUUAAUAAUCUAUCUAUAUGUACAUUUUACAUAAGUACAAACUAAACAUGGUAUUUAGUUUUAUAUCCACAAUGAAAUUAUCUCUAUUUUUAAAAGUUUCAAUAUAUUUUGUAAUAUUAGUAAAAUUAUAUCAAAAACCACAUUUAAAUUCUAUGAAACAUAAAAAUAUAAUAAUAAAAUAAAACAAUAUGAAAGUCUAAUUUCUAAAAUUUAGUUAAUAUAUAUAUGUAAAUGAACUAUUUUUUAUUUUAUAAAUAAAAUAUUUUAAAAUAGAAAAAUUUUUAAAAUGUAAAUUAAUCAUUCUAUAAAUUAAUAAAAUAUUAUAGUUCUAACAUUAUUAAUUUAUAGAGUUUUUACUGUAGUUUACUUUUGGGGGUUGAAUAAUGCGAUGGAUGAUUUUUGGUAAAUGAACAAAGCUAUUUACACAGAACAUAUGCAUUUAGUGCAGUUGGUGCAAAGCAAACUCUGCAGUUGUAAGAUUAAAUAGUAACUUGGUAAACAAGGAAGCAUUUUAGCGUUUGCAGUUUUUUGUAAACUGCAGUUGUAGUUAACACCUACAGUGACUUGUAAAGGGUGGGAUGAUCAUAUCAAAUUUGGUGCAUGUCAGAAAUAAAAGCAUAUUUAUUACCAUUACUUUAAACGAUUAGUCUAUGUAUUAUGAAUUAAAAUGAAUUAAUAGAUAUAAACUAUUGUAAUUUAUUUAUUUGAUCGCUUAUAGCAUUUGAAAUAACUCGUAAUUGGCGAGUUCUUUUCAAUGUAAAUUACACAAGAAAUAGAGCUGCACAAAACAUAGUAAAGGAAAACCACAUGCAAAGAGAGACAUCAAGUUACAACUUCAUCAAAAUUGUUCAAAAUACUCUCCAUAUAAACCCUUUAGCGUUUGCAGUUUUUUUUUGUUACAUUAUGGAACAUGAGUUUGGAUUCUCGUCGCUGAAUAGUUGAGGCGGAUAAGCAUGAGGCGGCAUUUCCAUAGGCGGAACCGCCACACGCGGUAGUUGGUAAUUAUAAUAGUAGUAAUAAGGAUUCUCUAUCUUCCUCACAUCCACAACUUUUCCCUCCUCCUCACCACCGCCGCCACCGUUUUUAUUUUCAGCUGCUUCGCCUUCCCCUUCUUUCUUUUCGUCCUUGCCUUCUUCCCCUUUGGACUCUCCUCCGCCCUUGUCCCCUUUACCUUCGUCUUUCUUAUCUGCUUCAGCUGCCGCAGCUGCUUCCUCAGGUGGCGGUGGAGGCGGUGGGUCAAUUUUCAUAAUGGCAGCAUGUUUUCCAGUCCGUUUAUAAAUGUGUUCAACGAGCUUUUGCGGUUCAAACAUUCCUUUUACUGUCACUUGAGAACCCUUUAAAUCUGAUUCAGCAGAUUCCACUCCUAAAAGUUACAUGUUUCAAAACAAACAAAAAAAAUCAUCAAGAAAAUAAUAAUAAUAGUACUAUCAAAGUGAAGGGGUAAAUACACUUUGACCCCACCACACAAAUGCUUUCAAUAAAUAAGAUGAGUCAGAUGAGUAUGAAUAAAUAAAUAACACGUGUAUAUGUUUUAAAGGACGCAAUAUCAUCUUGAUUUGAAUUUGUAUGGACCAAAAUUGAUACAACGAGAGAUAAUACAAAGUUGGUGACAGAAGUAAACAAGUGGAGGUUUUUGCAAGACAUUGGAAACGUUUUAUCUACCGAUAACAAACUAGACAGCCAAAAAUAAGUUAAAAUCUAAAAAAAAAUAUUUCUGAUUACAUUUAUAAAAUUUCCUAAUAAAGUCUGAAAUGUUGCUCUCCCGGAGAAAGAGUAAAGUUGAGAAAAAUAGACCACGCUUAAUGCGAUAUGAAUGUUUAUAUAAAUAAUCCAAUAUAUUAUUAAAUAUAAUAUUAUUAUGUCAAAGAAUUUGUAUAAUUAUUUACCAAAAAAAAAGAAGAAACUGUACAAGUAAAAAAGCUAACCUUUCAUUCUCAUGAUCCGUUUCUUGAUCUCCGAUGCACAAGCUUCGCAGUGCAUGUGAACCUUGAGGACCACCGUUACCACUACGGGAGGCUGAUACAUAAAAAAAUCGCCAGAAAAUGUUAAUACAGCCACUUCUUCUUCUUUUUUUCCUUUGAUCAAAGGAGACAGAGUCCAAAUUCUAUAUACAAAAAUAUAGUUUUAUAUCCUGUUCGGAACGCGCUAAGCGCUAGUCGGGCGGUCGGGUUGGGCCUAGCGCUUAAAGAGAAAAUCGGGGAUUAAUCAGAAAUUAUGCGGAACGGAAUUUUUAGAUGGUUUACUAUGUUAUAAAACAUGUUAAUCUUUAAUUGUGUAUAAUAUUAAUACAUUUUUAUGUUUAAAAUUGUAUAUAACACACAAAUAUAAUAUAUAAACUUAAUGUAGUGUAAUUUUCAUCAAAAUUAUGAAUAUAAAUGAUAUUUAUAAAAUUUUAGAUCAAAUAAACAAAUAAAAAUAUUAUUAAAAAAAUAAAAAUAAAAAAAAAAUAAAAAAAUAAUAAAAAAUAGAUUAGGCCGACUAGGCGGAAAAAAAUCGGAUAUCCGAUUUUUUAAACCGAUUUGACAUAAAUCGGAACGGAAAAGUGAUGCAUAGCGCCUAAAACUAUAUAAAACCAGCAACUAAAAAUAUACCAAUCGUAGUAUCCUACCAAUACAUCCCAUGUGAAAUCACUUCAAAAAGAGAAUAUAUCCAAUUGAAAAAUAAAUUAAUUAAAGUUUACCUUAAAUAAAAUAAUAACAAAAAAAACAAAUGAAUAUUCAUUUUAUUAUCCUACAACCCUUAAAAUUACCUCUUAUUUCUUGCUUUUUUUUCCUUUGCUAUCAAAUUCACUAAGCAGAAAAUAUCACAAUAAAGAAAGUUACCUCCACUUUCUUCUCUUCCACUUUGGGUUUCUCCUCCUCUGCUUUCUUCUCCGCCGGCUGCGACGGUGGAGGAAUUGGAGAAACAAGCACAACUUGACGGUGGGUCUUUCUUUGAACUCUGGCUAAUACUUUCAAUGGAUCAGCUUUCUCUCCCUUCACCACCACUUUCCCCGUUUUACAAUCAGUCAUGACAUCUUCCACUCCUAAAUAAAUUAAGUGCAUUUAACAUUUAGACCAAAAAAAGAAAAAAAAAAAUUAAGUGCAUAGAUUAAACCAAGAACCCAAGAUUCAGUUCAUAUAUUUAUAUUUACCAAAAACAGAGUUUUCUAGUUUGGGUGUUUUAUAUUUGGUUAAAGGAAUAACCUAGACUUUCUGUGGUCCUACACACAAAAUAUAUAACGAAUAUUAACUAUACAAAUACUCAAAAUUAACCAAAAAUGUGUAGUUGAUGAAAUAAACUUUUGGAGUUUAAGAAACUAUUAUAUGAAAAACUAAAAUGUACAUACCAAAAGUAUUUCAGAUGUAGGAAUACUAAGAAUAUGUGUGUGUGUGUGUAGAUUACCUUCGAAGCCUUUGAGGCAACGGCGGACUUUUCUAGCGCAGCCUUCACAGUGCAUGUAGACUUUAAGGAUAAUUUCUUGCGGUGGAGGAGGCGGUGCUGGAGCCUCAGGCUUCGCCGGAGGUGAAUCUUCUUUGGAAUCUUUAGUAGGUUCUCCUUCUUGAGUUUUCUUCUCAGAUUCUUCUCCUUUUUUCUCAUCAGCCUCCACUUUCUUUCCUUCUCCUUCUUUUUUCUCUUCCUCUGGUUUCUUUUCCUCCAUUUUCUUAUCCUCUGCUGCUUCUGGUUUCUUCUCCUCCUGUAACAAAAAGGCAGUUUAUAAAAAUUAGUAUUAUUUUAGAGUUUUGAGAAGAUGAUAUAAAAGCUUGAGAUGUCUUUCAAC
This 5089-nucleotide long non-coding RNA is filed under the name Brassica napus (rape). RNAcentral describes it as "long non-coding RNA (BNAP_LNC020880)". The record is from RNAcentral. Lineage: Eukaryota; Viridiplantae; Streptophyta; Magnoliopsida; Brassicales; Brassicaceae.